AUACAGAGGGCCCAAGCGUUGCGCGGAAUCAUUGGGCUUAAAGCGUACGUAGGCGGACAUGAAGGUAUCGUGUGAAAUCCCUCGGCUCAACCGAGGAAUGGCACGGUAAACCACAUGUCUUGAGUCAGGUAGAGGCCGCCGGAACGCUCGGUGGAGCGGUGAAAUGCGUUGAUAUCGAGCGGAACGCCGAAGGAGAAAUCAGGCGGCUGGGCCUGUACUGACGCUGAGGUACGAAAGCGUGGGGAGCGAACGGGAUUAGAAACCCCUGUAGUCC
RNAcentral lists this ribosomal RNA (274 nucleotides) under uncultured bacterium. RNAcentral describes it as "partial 16S ribosomal RNA". It matches the Rfam family "Bacterial small subunit ribosomal RNA", at positions 523 to 796 of the family's 1533-position model. The record is from RNAcentral.